This 253-nucleotide ribosomal RNA is filed under the name uncultured bacterium. RNAcentral describes it as "partial 16S ribosomal RNA". It matches the Rfam family "Bacterial small subunit ribosomal RNA", at positions 524 to 776 of the family's 1533-position model. The record is from RNAcentral.
UACGUAGGGUACGAGCGUUAAUCGGAAUUACUGGGCGUAAAGCGUGCGCAGGCGGUUUUGUAAGCCAGAUGUGAAAGCCCCGGGCUUAACCUGGGAAUGGCAUUUGGGACUGCAAGGCUUGAGUGCGGCAGAGGAGACUGGAAUUCCCGGUGUAGCAGUGAAAUGCGUAGAUAUCGGGAGGAAUACCGAUGGCGAAGGCAGGUCUCUGGGCUGACACUGACGCUCAUGCACGAAAGCGUGGGGAGCAAACAGG